GAUGAACGCUGGCGGCGUGCCUAAUACAUGCAAGUCGAGCGAACAGAUAAGGAGCUUGCUCCUUUGACGUUAGCGGCGGACGGGUGAGUAACACGUGGGUAACCUACCUAUAAGACUGGGAUAACUUCGGGAAACCGGAGCUAAUACCGGAUAACAUUUGGAACCGCAUGGUUCUAAAGUGAAAGAUGGUUUUGCUAUCACUUAUAGAUGGACCCGCGCCGUAUUAGCUAGUUGGUAAGGUAACGGCUUACCAAGGCAACGAUACGUAGCCGACCUGAGAGGGUGAUCGGCCAAACUGGAACUGAGACACGGUCCAGACUCCUACGGGAGGCAGCAGUAGGGAAUCUUCCGCAAUGGGCGAAAGCCUGACGGAGCAACGCCGCGUGAGUGAUGAAGGGUUUCGGCUCGUAAAACUCUGUUAUUAGGGAAGAACAAACGUGUAAGUAACUGUGCACGUCUUGACGGUACCUAAUCAGAAAGCCACGGCUAACUACGUGC
This 498-nucleotide ribosomal RNA is filed under the name uncultured bacterium. RNAcentral describes it as "partial 16S ribosomal RNA". It matches the Rfam family "Bacterial small subunit ribosomal RNA", at positions 28 to 508 of the family's 1533-position model. The record is from RNAcentral.